This 253-nucleotide ribosomal RNA is filed under the name uncultured bacterium. Its description in RNAcentral is "partial 16S ribosomal RNA". It matches the Rfam family "Bacterial small subunit ribosomal RNA", at positions 524 to 776 of the family's 1533-position model. The record is from RNAcentral.
GACAGAGGGGGCAAGCGUUGUCCGGAAUUACUGGGCGUAAAGCGCGCGCAGACGGCUCACGAUGUGCCUGGUGACAGUCCGCCGCUCAACGGCGGGAGGUCUGGGUAGACACGGGAGCUUGCAGCAGGGAGAGGGAUGUGGAAUACCCGGUGGAGCGGUGAAAUGCGUAGAGAUCGGGUGGAACACCAGUGGCGAAGGCGGCAUCCUGGCCCUGAUUGGACGUUGAGGCGCGACAGCGUGGGGAGCAAACGGG